This 77-nucleotide transfer RNA is filed under the name bacterium. RNAcentral's name for it is "tRNA-Trp". It matches the Rfam family "tRNA". Rfam says of the family: Transfer RNA (tRNA) molecules are approximately 80 nucleotides in length. Their secondary structure includes four short double-helical elements and three loops (D, anti-codon, and T loops). Further hydrogen bonds mediate the characteristic L-shaped molecular structure. tRNAs have two regions of fundamental functional importance: the anti-codon, which is responsible for specific mRNA codon recognition, and the 3' end, to which the tRNAs corresponding amino acid is attached (by aminoacyl-tRNA synthetases). tRNAs cope with the degeneracy of the genetic code in two manners: having more than one tRNA (with a specific anti-codon) for a particular amino acid; and 'wobble' base-pairing, i.e. permitting non-standard base-pairing at the 3rd anti-codon position. The record is from RNAcentral. RNAcentral also lists the same sequence under 1 other name.
AGGGGAGUAGCUCAACUGGCUAGAGUAGCGGUCUCCAAAACCGUUGGUUGCGGGUUCGAGUCCUGCCUCCCCUGCCA